This 429-nucleotide ribosomal RNA is filed under the name uncultured Actinobacillus sp. RNAcentral's name for it is "bacterial SSU rRNA". It matches the Rfam family "Bacterial small subunit ribosomal RNA", at positions 355 to 776 of the family's 1533-position model. The record is from RNAcentral. Lineage: Bacteria; Pseudomonadati; Pseudomonadota; Gammaproteobacteria; Pasteurellales; Pasteurellaceae.
UGGGGAAUAUUGCACAAUGGGGGGAACCCUGAUGCAGCCAUGCCGCGUGAAUGAAGAAGGCCUUCGGGUUGUAAAGUUCUUUCGGUGAUGAGGAAGGCAGGUAAGUUAAUAGCUUACUUGAUUGACGUUAGUCACAGAAGAAGCACCGGCUAACUCCGUGCCAGCAGCCGCGGUAAUACGGAGGGUGCGAGCGUUAAUCGGAAUGACUGGGCGUAAAGGGCACGCAGGCGGUGACUUAAGUGAGAUGUGAAAGCCCCGGGCUUAACCUGGGAAUUGCAUUUCAUACUGGGUCGCUAGAGUAUUUUAGGGAGGGGUAGAAUUCCACGUGUAGCGGUGAAAUGCGUAGAGAUGUGGAGGAAUACCGAAGGCGAAGGCAGCCCCUUGGGAAUAUACUGACGCUCAUGUGCGAAAGCGUGGGGAGCAAACAGG